UAUCCUGUCUGAAUAUGGGGGGACCAUCCUCCAAGGCUAAAUACUCCUGACUGACCGAUAGUGAACCAGUACCGUGAGGGAAAGGCGAAAAGAACCCCUGUGAGGGGAGUGAAAUAGAACCUGAAACCGUGUACGUACAAGCAGUAGGAGCACCUUCGUGGUGUGACUGCGUACCUUUUGUAUAAUGGGUCAGCGACUUAUAUUCAGUGGCAAGGUUAACCGUAUAGGGGAGCCGUAGCGAAAGCGAGUCUUAACUGGGCGCUCAGUCUCUGGAUAUAGACCCGAAACCGGGUGAUCUAGCCAUGGGCAGGUUGAAGGUUGAGUAACAUCAACUGGAGGACCGAACCGACUAAUGUUGAAAAAUUAGCGGAUGACUUGUGGCUAGGGGUGAAAGGCCAAUCAAACUCGGAGAUAGCUGGUUCUCCCCGAAAGCUAUUUAGGUAGCGCCUCGGACGAAUACUACUGGGGGUAGAGCACUGUUAAGGCUAGGGGGUCAUCCCGACUUACCAACCCUUUGCAAACUCCGAAUACCAGUAAGUACUAUCCGGGAGACACACGGCGGGUGCUAACGUCCGUCGUGGAGAGGGAAACAACCCAGACCGCCAGCUAAGGUCCCAAAGUAUUGCUAAGUGGGAAACGAUGUGGGAAGGCUCAGACAGCUAGGAUGUUGGCUUAGAAGCAGCCAUCAUUUAAAGAAAGCGUAAUAGCUCACUAGUCGAGUCGGCCUGCGCGGAAGAUGUAACGGGGCUAAGCAAUACACCGAAGCUGCGGCAAUGUCUUUUAGACAUUGGGUAGGGGAGCGUUCUGUAAGCCGUUGAAGGUGAAUCGUAAGGUUUGCUGGAGGUAUCAGAAGUGCGAAUGCUGACAUGAGUAACGACAAAGGGGGUGAAAAACCUCCUCGCCGGAAGACCAAGGGUUCCUGUCCAACGUUAAUCGGGGCAGGGUGAGUCGACCCCUAAGGUGAGGCCGAAAGGCGUAAUCGAUGGGAAACGGGUUAAUAUUCCCGUACUUCUGACUAUUGCGAUGGGGGGACGGAGAAGGCUAGGUGGGCCAGGCGACGGUUGUCCUGGUUCAAGUGCGUAGGCUUGAGAGUUAGGUAAAUCCGGCUCUCUCUAAGGCUGAGACACGACGUCGAGCUACUACGGUAGUGAAGUCAUUGAUGCCAUGCUUCCAGGAAAAGCCUCUAAGCUUCAGAUAGUCAGGAAUCGUACCCCAAACCGACACAGGUGGUCGGGUAGAGAAUACCAAGGCGCUUGAGAGAACUCGGGUGAAGGAACUAGGCAAAAUGGUACCGUAACUUCGGGAGAAGGUACGCUCUUGAUGGUGAAGUCCCUCGCGGAUGGAGCUGACGAGAGUCGCAGAUACCAGGUGGCUGCAACUGUUUAUUAAAAACACAGCACUGUGCAAAAUCGCAAGAUGACGUAUACGGUGUGACGCCUGCCCGGUGCCGGAAGGUUAAUUGAUGGGGUUAGCGCAAGCGAAGCUCUUGAUCGAAGCCCCGGUAAACGGCGGCCGUAACUAUAACGGUCCUAAGGUAGCGAAAUUCCUUGUCGGGUAAGUUCCGACCUGCACGAAUGG
This 1578-nucleotide ribosomal RNA is filed under the name human gut metagenome. Its description in RNAcentral is "bacterial LSU rRNA". It matches the Rfam family "Bacterial large subunit ribosomal RNA", at positions 430 to 1999 of the family's 2925-position model. The record is from RNAcentral.